UACCGGGAUUCUUGGUUAAUAUAUUUUUCUUUCCACGUUUCGUUUAUACGUAGAUAACCUCAAAUUACCAUCUAUCAUGUUGGAUGCACUGCAUCUGAGAGAAAUUUCUCGGACUAGUUCCACGGCGUCAUCUUGAUUCUUCUCCUCUGUCACAAACAAAUUUGUUCCUGAACUGAGCUGAACCUUCGUUCCGCUCCGAAAUUCUCGUCUUUUAUUUGUCGUUAGCCCAAUUAUGAGGGCUAAGUGGCGUAAGAAGCGUAUGCGUAGGUUGAAGCGCAAGAGGAGGAAGAUGCGUGCAAGGUCCAAGUAAACCUCGUGGCCCGCACCGGACAUCUCACCAUGUUUUGGUAAACAAUAACCGAUAUUGAUACUUUUAUAUUGAAUCAUCUAAACAGUAAUAAACUCCAUCUGUUCAACAUAUAAA
Molecule: long non-coding RNA, 424 nt
Organism: Aphis gossypii (cotton aphid)
Lineage: Eukaryota; Metazoa; Arthropoda; Insecta; Hemiptera; Aphididae
Exons: 2
Source: RefSeq, a predicted model, not a curated record